Myotis lucifugus (little brown bat) is the source of this 1468-nucleotide RNA transcript. It is a transcript of the gene named antioxidant 1 copper chaperone, with no coding region annotated. Lineage: Eukaryota; Metazoa; Chordata; Mammalia; Chiroptera; Vespertilionidae. The transcript is spliced from 6 exons. The record is from RefSeq and is a predicted model, not a curated record.
CGGCUCCCCGGCGCGCACGCCCGGAAACAGCAGCGCCAGCGUUCGGAACCCCGAGAAGCGUCGCCGCCGCCGCCCACCGCCGCCCUCGGUCAUGCCGGUGAUCUUCGAUGCAUAAAUAAGACCACCAGACCAGCAUGGCUCCGAGGAUGGGCGUCCACCCAUGUCAGAGUCGAUGGUCCUGAGAUGGCCCCCUAGUUCAAGAAACAGGAUUUUAAAGAAGCACGAGUUCUUUGUAGACAUGACUUGUGAAGGCUGCUCUAAUGCAGUCGCUCGGGUCCUCAACAAGCUAGGAGGAGUUGAGUUUGAGAUCGACCUGCCCAACAAGAAGGUUUGCAUCGACUCUGAGCACAACGUGGACACUCUGCUGGAGACGCUGAAGAAAACAGGGAAGACUGUUACCUACAUCGGCCCCAAAUAGCGAGGGCCUGGGCCCCCGGCCCGCAGGAUGGACCAGAGUGGGCAGAUGAAAUGAUUGUCUCUGUUGAAAAUCCGAAAGAAUCAGGGUCUGGAGACCUUCCGGGUUGAUGAACACAUCCACGUACCAGAAGGCGUGCACCCCGACUCUAUGGGGACAGAAGCUCCUGUGCUUGGGAUCUGCCCAGACCCCACCCUGUGGACCUCUUCAUCGGGCUGUUCAAGUGUGUCCUUUAUCAUUUCCUUUAAUAAACUGGGAAACGUCCCUGGUCCUUCUCCACACAGACACUGAUUAUUACCCGUUUCAUACGCAUCCGGAUGAGUCUGCAAAUGUGAAUUUUAAUGCUAAAAGAGCCACUCCACUGAGAAGAAUCAUGCACCAUCCCCACCCAUAUGGCCUGCACACCCAGGCCUUCCUUUGAAGAGUCCACCUCGUGACCCUGUAUUUAGGACGUUCACUGGAAACCACUCCGUGUCCUCUGUCAUUGGACCUGAACCCACCGUGUGUGUCUUUUCCAAUGGGCAAUUAUGUGGGCUCUUUUGCUUAACCAGGGCCAGCUUCCCCGGAGCAGGACUGCUUGUCUCUCUGACACGUCCUCCCCCGGCUCCCCAGAAUGAAAUUUUCACCAGCCAAACAACCUGUAUUUUAAGUCAGACCAUUGCAAACAUAUCUUCAAAUCUUGGUGCAAAUCAGUCUGCCAUUUUCUUAUGAUGGGGUGCACAAGUAGACAGGAAGCCACGAACUUCACUUUGUUACAUGGAUGAAACCCCACUGUCCCCUUCUCUGACCUUUAGGAAAAAUGAAAGAGAGAAACUUUCAAAGUGAGAGCACGCUUAGCACACGACUCUGUACCCUGCCUUUUCCUUCUUGCUGAUCACUGUGUCUUGAGAUGGUUUCGUGCCACACAGUUUCGCCCUUGCAGUUAUAGUAUCCAUACCGGUUCAAUUCUGGGUGUGAAUAUACAGGGAGCUAAAAUUAAUAGUAAUUUUAUUCUUUCUAAAAUAAAGUCUUCAAAAACAGAAAAAGAAAUAAAAAGGAAUAGCUCUGGCCUCC